This 61-nucleotide transfer RNA is filed under the name Falcolipeurus marginalis. RNAcentral describes it as "tRNA-Ala". The record is from RNAcentral. Lineage: Eukaryota; Metazoa; Arthropoda; Insecta; Psocodea; Philopteridae.
GGGGUAAUAGUUUAGUUAAAAUAACUCAUUUGCAUUGAGUAGAUAUUUAUUUUUUUACCUU